UGCCGCUCACGCCCGGUCGU
RNAcentral lists this small nuclear RNA (20 nucleotides) under Arabidopsis thaliana (thale cress). RNAcentral describes it as "snRNA_06615". Lineage: Eukaryota; Viridiplantae; Streptophyta; Magnoliopsida; Brassicales; Brassicaceae. The record is from RNAcentral.